AACGCGAAGAACCUUACCUGGGUUUGACAUGGAGCUGCACCACGGGUAAUGCCGUGUCCCCUUCGGGGGCGGUUCCACAGGUGCUGCAUGGCUGUCGUCAGCUCGUGCCGUGAGGUGUUGGGUUAAGUCCCCUAACGAGCGCAACCCCUGGGGUCCGUUGUACAUUUCGGGCCCGACUGCCGCGCGCAACGCGGAGGAAGGUGGGGAUGACGUCAAGUCAGCACGGCCCUUACGUCCAGGGCGACACACACGCUACAAUGGCCGGUACAAUGGGUUGCCAAGCCGCGAGGCGGAGCCAAUCCCCUAAAGCCGGUCUCAGUUCGGAUGGUAGGCUGCAACUCGCCUGCCUGAAGCCGGAGUUGCUAGUAACCGUGGGUCAGCACACCACGGUGAAUACGUUCCCGGGCCUUGUACACACCGAGUAUA
This 426-nucleotide ribosomal RNA is filed under the name uncultured bacterium. RNAcentral describes it as "bacterial SSU rRNA". It matches the Rfam family "Bacterial small subunit ribosomal RNA", at positions 958 to 1398 of the family's 1533-position model. The record is from RNAcentral.